GAUUUACUUAAUAAGUAUAUGUUAACGUUGCAUAGUUAUAUAUUGAUUAUUAAGUGGUAAUGAUAUGUUUAUCGAUUUUCAUGAUAGCUAGUUUAUUAGUGAUUAUAUUUAAGUAUUGUAAUGUUAAUACGGCGUAAGCCGUUUAACGUUAGUUUAUGUUGUGGGGGAUAAGCUUCACAUAGAGUUAUAGAGAGUGUUAAAUAUUAUUAGGCAAUUUAAGUAGAAUUAAUAAUGUUUUUCUUUUAAAGUAGUUUAAAUUGAAUGAGUAAAUUGGUUAAGUCUCAUGUUGUAUAACUAAUAAAUGCUUAUGAAUUUACAAGUAAGUAAAUAUAAUGUUGAUAUGAGUAUUAGUUGGAAUUCGAUAGUUAAUAUAUUUGAAAAUGUUGUAGUUGCGAAUAGUUUAUAUUAAGAGAAAGUUAAUUAAAGUGAAGGAAUUCGGCAAAUAUUAAUCUCGCCUGUUUAUCAAAAACAUGUCUCUUUGUGAAAUAUAAAUAAAGAG
RNAcentral lists this ribosomal RNA (499 nucleotides) under Sthenoteuthis oualaniensis. Its description in RNAcentral is "partial 16S ribosomal RNA". Lineage: Eukaryota; Metazoa; Mollusca; Cephalopoda; Oegopsida; Ommastrephidae. The record is from RNAcentral.